UUUUUGAACAUUUCUAAAAAUUUCUCAAAGUUUUUCUCAUGUUGAUCCAUCUUCUUUUCUCUCUAAGGAUAUAGGAGUCUGAUGAAGGGUCUUGGCACUUUUUGUUUACUACUUUCAACCACUUUAGGGGAAGAAUCCUCUUCAAACUUUUUCUGACUUUCUUUGAUUUCAAGAUCUACCUCUAAGAGAUGGUCUUCUAC
RNAcentral lists this long non-coding RNA (200 nucleotides) under Lathyrus oleraceus (garden pea). RNAcentral describes it as "Pisum sativum (pea) long non-coding RNA (PSAT_LNC015426)". Lineage: Eukaryota; Viridiplantae; Streptophyta; Magnoliopsida; Fabales; Fabaceae. The record is from RNAcentral.